This 765-nucleotide ribosomal RNA is filed under the name Priestia aryabhattai. RNAcentral describes it as "bacterial SSU rRNA". It matches the Rfam family "Bacterial small subunit ribosomal RNA", at positions 114 to 863 of the family's 1533-position model. The record is from RNAcentral. Lineage: Bacteria; Bacillati; Bacillota; Bacilli; Caryophanales; Bacillaceae.
CACGUGGGCAACCUGCCUGUAAGACUGGGAUAACUUCGGGAAACCGAAGCUAAUACCGGAUAGGAUCUUCUCCUUCAUGGGAGAUGAUUGAAAGAUGGUUUCGGCUAUCACUUACAGAUGGGCCCGCGGUGCAUUAGCUAGUUGGUGAGGUAACGGCUCACCAAGGCAACGAUGCAUAGCCGACCUGAGAGGGUGAUCGGCCACACUGGGACUGAGACACGGCCCAGACUCCUACGGGAGGCAGCAGUAGGGAAUCUUCCGCAAUGGACGAAAGUCUGACGGAGCAACGCCGCGUGAGUGAUGAAGGCUUUCGGGUCGUAAAACUCUGUUGUUAGGGAAGAACAAGUACGAGAGUAACUGCUUGUACCUUGACGGUACCUAACCAGAAAGCCACGGCUAACUACGUGCCAGCAGCCGCGGUAAUACGUAGGUGGCAAGCGUUAUCCGGAAUUAUUGGGCGUAAAGCGCGCGCAGGCGGUUUCUUAAGUCUGAUGUGAAAGCCCACGGCUCAACCGUGGAGGGUCAUUGGAAACUGGGGAACUUGAGUGCAGAAGAGAAAAGCGGAAUUCCACGUGUAGCGGUGAAAUGCGUAGAGAUGUGGAGGAACACCAGUGGCGAAGGCGGCUUUUUGGUCUGUAACUGACGCUGAGGCGCGAAAGCGUGGGGGAGCAAACAGGAUUAGAUACCCUGGUAGUCCACGCCGUAAACGAUGAGUGCUAAGUGUUAGAGGGUUUCCGCCCUUUAGUGCUGCAGCUAACGCAUUAA